UACGGAGGGGGCUAGCGUUGUUCGGAAUUACUGGGCGUAAAGCGCGCGUAGGCGGCUGUCCAAGUCGGGGGUGAAAGCCCGGGGCUCAACCCCGGAUGUGCCUUCGAGACUGGGCGGCUGGAACACGGGAGAGGUGGGUGGAAUUCCGAGUGUAGAGGUGAAAUUCGUAGAUAUUCGGAGGAACACCGGUGGCGAAGGCGGCUCACUGGACCGUUGUUGACGCUGAGGCGCGAAAGCGUGGGGAGCAAACAGG
Molecule: ribosomal RNA, 253 nt
Filed under: uncultured bacterium
Lineage: Bacteria
Description: partial 16S ribosomal RNA
Rfam family: Bacterial small subunit ribosomal RNA
Source: RNAcentral